This is a long non-coding RNA of Apis laboriosa (Himalayan honeybee), 3789 nucleotides long. RefSeq lists it as uncharacterized. The transcript has 4 exons. NCBI's taxonomy places the organism in Eukaryota, Metazoa, Arthropoda, Insecta, Hymenoptera, Apidae. The record is from RefSeq and is a predicted model, not a curated record.
CGAGUCUGAUAAUAUUUCUUAGAAUAAUUCUUACUAAGAAAUUGGAAAUUCGUGUUUAUAUACAUUCGACGUGUUACGAUUGUAUCGUCGAUAAAUUUUGUUUUGAAUUUGUAAUUGCUAAGGUGAAAUCGUGCGAGGCGUCACUUUAUCGUUGGAAGUCGUGGCGUACGGACUGCUUUCGGUAUACGAGUAGUAACUUAUUGCGUAUUACGUUAUUUUCAUUUAUAGAUAUUUUUGUACUUUUUUUUUAUAUAUUAUUAUUUAAUUAAUACGCGUUUAUUCAAUAAUUAGUCGAAUAUAUUAUAAUAUAUUAUAAUUUUUUUUCAUUGAUUUAUUUUAGGUUAUUUUAGGUUAGAAUUGUUGGUAGUUCGUAUCAUGAAUUUCUAAAAUGAAAUUUUUGCGUAAUUAUUUUUUGUUUUAACACAUUCGGUUUUAAUUUUAUGUAUAUUUAAAUAUAUUUUAUAUAUUUAUUUGAUUACUUUUUGUGGAAAUUAAUAGCUAUUUAAUAAAAUAACUUUUGAAUAUGGACGCUACAACGGUCAAUCAGAUAAUUUACUUUUAAAAAUUUUUGUGAUCGCGUGCAAUGCGAUUAAUAGAGUCAGUGUUUGCUUCGUAACAGUAUUUUUAACGUUUUUAGUGUAUAAUUGUUCUAGUUAAAAUUAAUUACAUGUUUUUCGUAAAAUUCGAGUCAGUAUUCGUCGAUUAGAUAUAACAAUUGUGUCGAUAGUUUUUUAUUUUUUCUUAAAUAUUUGUUUUCGGUAUAUAUUAGAAUCAGUGUUUCAAGAAAAUCAAGCGAUCAUCUGUUCGAAAAGUCUCUUCUGCGAUUACAUCUUGAUUUCUUCUAGACCAUAGCAGCAUGAUGAUGUCCUUGGCACCUAAUGUUUCUCGUAGUCAUCGAUGACGUGUUUAGAGGAGUCAUAAGGAAGAGCUAGACAACUUGUAACAAUACCAGCCUCCAAAAUAAUGUGCUCGAAGACGCAAACACGUCAAUUAAGUUGAUUUCACAGUUACGAAACGAGACACGGGAAAAAGGACGAAGAACAAACAUUUUAACGAUAAGCUUUUGCCGCCGCUGCUACUACUACCACUAGGUCGUCCUCCGCUUCGGAAACUUUUAAGAAGCCGAAGAAGAAUAUUCGCAAAUGGAGUACUCAAGUUCCAGUUUGCGGUCAGUACGCUCAUAUUAUGCAGCCGUGAUCUUUGUAGAUUACAAACGAAAGUCUUUUCUCUUAGUGGCGUUCCGGGCGAUGUUAAACUUUUGUGGGCCAGCAGCCGUCCAUUACGGUGAUAACAUUGCAGCCAUCAAGCUUACCACUGCUUACUCCCCAUCUUUCGAAGAAGAAGAAACUGCUUUUAAUCUUCAAAGAGGAUUCUUUUAACCCUUUGUAACAUAAGUAGAUUUCUCGUUCCUUGUGAAACGAAAUUUAUCAUAAUUUCUUAGUGUUUCUUAAAGUCAAAUAAAUACGAAUCUUUACUAAUAUUAUAUCGUUCCACGAGGAAUGAAGCAAUGCAUACAAUAAUUUGGCUUAAUAAGAUAUGAUAAUUCGACAUGAAUGAAGAAGACGAAUGAAGAAUUAAUUUGUAAAAAAUAAAUAACAGGUAAGUGAAAUUUCAGAAAAAAUUUACCUCUCUCCUUUUCAAUUUUCAAGAAACUAUUCGUCGCUCACGACGUACCUUAAACCUGAUUUCUAAAUCCUUAUUAUCCAUACUCGAAUAACUCGUAUUAAUAAUCAAUAAGUAACCUAAAAUUUUAAAUACAAAUAAAUAACUCGAAUAACUCAGGUAGUGCAGAAACUUUCAACCGAAAACGUUAAACGGAAGACAAAGAAGAAAGUCUGGCUAAUCAGCAAUACCACGAUCCCUGUCCGUAAAGCGAAGGGAGACUUUCGCCCUGGUAGUCACCUGUAAUCUGCCCGUAAACGGUUUAAAGUACGCUAAUUCUCCUCGCUACCUCGGGAAAACAUCUCUCCAGACCAAGCCUCUUAGGAGCUAGCGCUCGUUAGGCUUGCCUUGUAAGCGGCCAACCGAUUCGUAUACCUGCGUGCCGUGUUUCACCACCUCGUCGAUUCGCCGCGAGAACACAACGUGAGAAUCGAAAGUCGCAGAGACGGACCGCAACCGUUUGAAACCGGAUGCACAGGCCGCGUAUACGCGCAAGCACGGUGGUGGUGGGGAGGAGGGGGGAUAAAGGGGGCGGUUCGAACACGCGUCUAAUACCGAUUAUACCGCGUUUAACACGAGCGUCUUUCGACAACGCGACGAAUGGAAACGCGGCGGUUUCAAGCGCAUGGUCGUCGUUAAGCGAACGUGUUUCUCGGACGAAUCGGCCGCUCGCGUGUAUUUAAUCGGAUCGUCGGUGAACGCCCGAUCCGGACCGGACGCUCCGUAUCAAUCGGCCUCGCGUGAAUACUACUGCUACUAUUACCACUACCACCAUUGCAGGUCCAAACUGCAGGUAAUGAUAUCGUAGGGCGGGGAUGGAGGACGAAGGAUUUCGCGUUUGUGUAUCUACAGGUAUGUACUGUACCGGAGGGGUGAUAUUAGGAGGGAGGGAAGGGGCUCGUUAUGGUCGGUUUUGGGGCAGGAUAUGGUUUGAGAGUAGUGUAUUUAAGAGCCGUCGUACGUGUUUAAUAUACGGGAAGCGUGGAUGUUACGUUAUCAUCAAGAUCUGCAUCGACGUGUAGUUGUAAUCUUGAUAAUUUGCAGCGAGAUCUUCUCCUCAUUUUGAAUGGUAAAUAAAUCUUAUGCGUGUGCUUUAUGCGUUAUCUUGUUUUUUUUUUUUUUUUUUUUUUUUUUGAAAAUAAUUUUAAUUUUGUGGAAGGGAAAAUUCGUUCGGGAAAUGAUUCGAAGAUAAGGAAACGAAUAUAAGAUAAUGGAAAUACCUUGUAAUUAAUCGGAUUUAUCGGAGUAUGCAAGAAGAAAUGCAUGUUUAUCGAACGUUUAUUUGCAGAAUGCAUUAUCAUUAGCAAAACUGCAAGAACAAUGUAAUAAAAUAAACAAAAAUGUGAUAAAGAAUUGUUAAUUUUUGUCGGUAUGACGAGAGAAUUGCUCGUUAAAUAAUGACUAAUAAGUUAAAGAAUUUAAUCUUAAUGUUCAAACAGGUACGUGAUUUGACGUUAUAUCGUAUGUUUCCCAAAGAUAUUCACAAUAUAACAAAACAAUCAUUUGUUGGAACAACAUGGAGUAGCCAAAUACCAUGUUCCGAAAUACACGUUAACGAAAAAAAAAGAGACAUGUGUUUCAAUUAACGGUAACCUCAAUAAACUGUGAAUAAAUUUUUUUUCACCAGUUUUACAUUUUUAGAACGCAACUGUGCUAAUGGAUACUACAUUCGUCAUUCGAGAAUAUGGUUGUUAACACAAAGAGUAAUCGUAUAAGAUCGAUAAAAUUACAAUUCACCAUUGUUGGAUCAAUUAUAAACAUGCAUUACUAUAGAAUAUGAAUGUCGAUUAUUAUAAAUGCUUGUUUUACAAGAAAUCUAUCGAUCGAAAAAACAAUUCCGUUUAAUCUUAGAUUAAAAAAAAAAAAAAAAAAAAAAUGGAAAAAAUGAAUAAAUUAAAAAUCGAAAAAUCUAAAUUAGAAAUAAAAUAUUAACGAAGUGUUUCGAAAAAUAAAAGGCAACUCCGGAUGGAGUGGUCAACGAAUAAUUUUACACUCGCUACAAACAGCCGCGCUAUGCCAGAGAAUCGAAACUAAUCUGUGCACGGUUUUAUCAUCGUGGCGUGGAACGCUCUCUAAAAACCUAGUCGAAAAACCACACGUUAUAUGGUAAUACCGGUGAAUACUCGG